RNAcentral lists this ribosomal RNA (450 nucleotides) under uncultured Flavobacteriia bacterium. RNAcentral describes it as "bacterial SSU rRNA". It matches the Rfam family "Bacterial small subunit ribosomal RNA", at positions 45 to 495 of the family's 1533-position model. The record is from RNAcentral. Lineage: Bacteria; Pseudomonadati; Bacteroidota; Flavobacteriia.
GGCCUAACACAUGCAAGUCGAGCGGUAGAAGAUCUUCGGAUCUUUGAGAGCGGCGUACGGGUGCGGAACACGUGUGCAACCUGCCUUUAUCAGGGAGAUAGCCUUUCGAAAGGAAGAUUAAUAUCCCAUAAUAUUUUGAAUGGCAUCAUUUAAAAUUGAAAGCUCCGGCGGAUAGAGAUGGGCACGCGCAAGAUUAGAUAGUUGGCGGGGUAACGGCCCACCAAGUCAAUGAUCUUUAGGGGGCCUGAGAGGGUGAUCCCCCACACUGGUACUGAGACACGGACCAGACUCCUACGGGAGGCAGCAGUGAGGAAUAUUGGACAAUGGGUGAGAGCCUGAUCCAGCCAUCCCGCGUGAAGGACGACGGCCCUAUGGGUUGUAAACUUCUUUUGUAUAGGGAUAAACCUACCCUCGUGAGGGUAGCUGAAGGUACUAUACGAAUAAGCACCG